CCAUUGUACUUCAACUGAAGGAAGUGACUGUGAAACAAAAGUGAGGUGGGAGGAGAGGUGGGCAUUUGGCUGAUGUGAAAGAGUGAGAAGGUGCAGCUGAAUCACACUCUUCUCAUCAAAAACAGGUAGCCCCAUGACACUAGAACCAAUGGAGUUGGGAUUUCAACAGGACCACCUGACUUCAUUUGAGGCGAAUUAAACCACUUUAAUACGUCUCUCCUCUCCUUGAUUCCUCCUCUUUAAAACUUUUCUUGAAGAUGCUUUGAGACUCAGUGACAUUUGGUUAAAAUUUGAAGGCACAAUGAUGAAGCCCUUCCUUUAGGACCAGCAUUAUAGAUGUAUUUCUUUACAUACUUCCAGAAGCCUCUUUACUCAGCAUCCUGGAGCCUUCAAACCCAGAAAAAUUGUGUCUGCCGUGGUAGUGUGAAAUCUGGUUCUCUCAGGGGUGAAGAAUGCCUUGCUGCAGCAAAAUUAUUAUGAUGCUGGAUAUAAAGCCCGAAUCAACACUGUCUACCUGUCUGUCUCAUUAACAACUUUCCACAGUUUUGGUGAAGCGAGAAAUGAUCUUUCAAAUUAAGCAUUUCUGAAGCCUGUUACAGAAAGUCUUUAUAUUUCAAAAGUAUCUCAGCUUCACAGUAAAGAGUUUUUUCCUUCCUCAAUCUUCUGUUUCCUGUUCAUCACAAAAUGAGCAUUGUCUUCACUUUCCACAUCGUUUCUCCUGUGCUUAUUUUUAUUGUAUCAGUUUUUUCUUUUCCAGGAACUUCCCCAAACUGUUUCCCAUGCAGGAAAUAGCUAAGCAAGCAAACAAACAAAUUAGAUGACAGU
This is a long non-coding RNA of Numida meleagris (helmeted guineafowl), 825 nucleotides long. Lineage: Eukaryota; Metazoa; Chordata; Aves; Galliformes; Numididae. The record is from Ensembl.